UGGAUCCUCAGUACAUGCGAGUGAAGCGGGAAAAGCUCAGACUGAAAAUCUUCGCACUGCGGCGCCGAAUUGUAGUCUGAUAAGUAUGGUCAGCCGAUUGAUGGGUAAAGUCUCUGGAAAGGAGCGCAUGAGAAGGUGAUAGCCCCGUUCAUACCUGGAUUGUUAGAAGCUUACGACCUGCUUUCUACGAGUCGAGUUGUUUGGGACUGCAGCUCUAAAUGGGUGGUAAAUUCCAUCUAAAGCUAAAUAUUGGUGGGAGACCGAUAGCGAACAAGUACCGUGAGGGAAAGAUGCAAAGAACUUUGAAAAGAGAGUUAAAUAGUACCUGAAAUUGCUGAAAUGGAACCGAUGGGAGGCAGUGUCAUCCUUGGUAUUUUUCAUGGCUCUGUUUCAAGUAGGGCGUUCUGCAGUUUUUUAGCGCGGGAAAGGCUGAUGAACUAGUUUAGGUCAAGCCUUUUGUUAUAGCCUUUGUCCGUCGUGCUGGCCUAGGAAGGAGACUGUCACGUUUGUGCUCGUGAUGCGUACGAAAUGGUCCUAAGCCGCCCGUCUUGAAACACGGACCAAGGAGUCUAACAUAUGUGCGAGUGCUCGGGUGUAAAACCCCCACGCGAAAUAAACGUAAAGGUGAAAUUUAUUCACUUGGGCGCACUAUCGACCGACCCUGAUCCUCCGGGAGGACGGUUUGAGUGUGAGCAUACAUGUUGGGACCCGAAAGAUGGUGAACUAUGCCUGAGUAGGGCGA
RNAcentral lists this ribosomal RNA (742 nucleotides) under Cerataulina pelagica. RNAcentral describes it as "partial large subunit ribosomal RNA". It matches the Rfam family "Eukaryotic large subunit ribosomal RNA", at positions 71 to 849 of the family's 3401-position model. The record is from RNAcentral. Lineage: Eukaryota; Bacillariophyta; Thalassiosirophyceae; Eucampiales; Eucampiaceae.